Fundulus heteroclitus (mummichog) is the source of this 1049-nucleotide long non-coding RNA. RefSeq lists it as uncharacterized. Lineage: Eukaryota; Metazoa; Chordata; Actinopteri; Cyprinodontiformes; Fundulidae. The transcript is spliced from 6 exons. The record is from RefSeq and is a predicted model, not a curated record.
UACACUCCUCACCGGCUGGUGGCGGUAAUGCUCCAACUUGUUGGUUGCCGAGCGCUAGAGCAAGGUUCGAGCUAACCACCGCCAGCCACGAGUUUUAAAGCGGAGGAGACACGUGUGAUGUAUUCAAGCAUCAGCUCUGGGUUUGUUUGUGCUCAGAUGUCUAAGAACUUUUCUCAAGGGCCUAAGAAAAGGAGUCCAGUAGCCCUCAUGGUGAAGGCACCGAAUGGAUGACGCGCCCCGGCGGUGUUGAAAUGCAAGUCUGGAGGCGAAAGAAAACCCUCUGAAGAUUUAAAGGCUCGGCCCCGCAGACUUGAACUGGAACGUCUUCGUCUCUAAAGACAGAAGAUCGAAGAAGGCGACUGUGGGACAUUUCUAGUCCAGAAUCUGUCUGCCAACAAGUUCCUUGUAGACUGAGUCAGAGAAAAGCCAAUGCUGACUGACAUGUUGCUCUGAAUCAACACAGCAGAGGUUCUCCACAACAUGAGCAACUUCAGGAAGACUAAAGCUCUACAAAUAAGUUUGUUGCUGUGAUAACAAAACGUUUUCCCAAGGAACCGGUGAGCUGCGAUUGUGGCGCCCGAGGAGCGUUCUGGAGCCAAGGGUCUUGCUCAGGGACCCAGAGUGGCAGUGUGCGGGAUUUGAACCAGGGAACUUGGAUCCUUCACAGAACAGAAGCGCCCUGCUCUGAGCACCAGGCCCCCAUUGACCCUGACUGCUGCCGACGGUCCUUGUUAACGUGACAUUGUAAUCGUUUGUGUCCACCGGUCACAUCUCGCUGUUCUCCUGCUGUUCUGCUGCGGUUCUGGCGGAGGUGACGGUUUGUCAGCGCGGGUUGCAGGUUCUGGGGCGGUCUUGCAUCAGCGGCCACCACACUUAAACGUUUGCAUUUUGCUCCUGUAAGCCAGACGGGUUUCAUAAUGUAGGAAUGCUUUUGGUCGGCCGUUGUGCUGAAGUUUUGAUGCAAUAAUUUCACAAGAAAUGCUGCAAGCAAAAAUGUACUGAACUUGUUGCCUGGCUAUAAAACAAUUGAAAUGUUCUAUUGAGGUUCA